This 1262-nucleotide ribosomal RNA is filed under the name Schizaphis graminum (greenbug). RNAcentral's name for it is "large subunit ribosomal RNA". Lineage: Eukaryota; Metazoa; Arthropoda; Insecta; Hemiptera; Aphididae. The record is from RNAcentral.
UUAAAUUUAUUUUAUUAAUAUUUUUGUUUUUAAUUGAUUUUUUAUAAAAAUAAUUUAUUUAUUUAAAGUUUUAGUAUUAAUUAAAAAUUAAUUUAUAGAUUUAUAGUUUAAUAGUAUAGUGAAAGAAAUAUUUAGAUUUUAAAAAGAAUAAAUUUAGUACCUUUUGUAUCAGGGUUGAUUAAAAUUUUUAAUUUUUUUUUAAAUUCUCAAAAUUUAUAGAGUUAAUUUUAUUAUUAAUUUAUUGUAUUAUAAAUAUUUAUAAAAUAAUAUUAGUUUUGAAAUUUAAUUCGUUAUAUUAUAUUUAGUUAUUUAAGAUUUAAAUUUAAUUUAAAAUUUUAAAAGUUAUGUUGAUUUUAUUAAUUAAUAUUUUAAAUUUAAAUUAUUUUAGGGAUAAGCUUGAAAUUUUUAUAUAAUAAUUUAUUUAAUUUAAUAAUUUAUAGGAAUAGAAAUUUUUAUUUAAGUUUGUAAAAAUUUAUUAUUUAUUUUAUUUUAAUUUAUUAUAAAUUAUUUAUUUUUUAUAUUAAAUUUUAUUAAUUAAUAAUUAAUUAAUAGUAAUAAUGAUUAAAUUAGUAUAAUUAAUAUUUAUAAAUUAUGAAUUCGGCAAAAAUUAUUUUCAUCUGUUUAACAAAAACAUUGUAUUAAGUUUAAUUUAAUAUAGGAUCUGCUCAAUGAUUUAUUAAAUAGCUGCAGUAUUUUGACUGUGCAAAGGUAGCAUAAUAAUUAGUCUUUUAAUUGAGGACUUGUAUGAAAGAUUUGAUGAGAAAUAAACUUUAUUAUUUAUAUAAUUAAAAUUUUAUUUUUAAGUAAAAAAGCUUAAAUUAUUUAAAGGGACGAUAAGACCCUAUAAAACUUUAUAAAUUUUAAAUUUAAUUUUUUUGGAUUUAUAAAUAUUUUAUUUUUAAAAUUUAUUUUAUUGGGGUGAUAAAAAAAAUUAAUAAACUUUUUUUAAAAAUUAACAUUAUUUAAUGAAUUUUUGAAUUAAAAUUUUUAAUUAAAGGAAAAAGUUACUUUAGGGAUAACAGCGUAAUUAAUUUUUUAAGUUCAAAUUUAAAAAUUAGUUUGCGACCUCGAUGUUGAAUUAAGAUUAAUCUUAGGUGCAAAAUUUUAAGUGUUAGGUCUGUUCGACCUUUAAAUUCUUACAUGAUUUGAGUUCAAACCGGUGUAAGCCAGGUUGGUUUCUAUCUUUUAAAAAUUAAUUUAUUUUAGUACGAAAGGAUUAAAUAAAUAAAUUAAAUUUUUAUUAAAUGAAUAAAAUUAAUUUA